RNAcentral lists this ribosomal RNA (484 nucleotides) under uncultured bacterium. Its description in RNAcentral is "partial 16S ribosomal RNA". It matches the Rfam family "Bacterial small subunit ribosomal RNA", at positions 28 to 523 of the family's 1533-position model. The record is from RNAcentral.
GACGAACGCUGGCGGCGUGCUUAACACAUGCAAGUCGAACGAUGAAGCUAGAGCUUGCUCUGGUGAAUUAGUGGCGAACGGGUGAGUAACACGUGAGUAACCUGCCCCGAACUCUGGGAUAACUGCUGGAAACGGUAGCUAAUACUGGAUACGACCUACGAAGGCAUCUUCUGUAGGUGGAAAGAAUUUCGGUUCGGGAUGGACUCGCGGCCUAUCAGCUUGUUGGUGAGGUAAUGGCUCACCAAGGCGACGACGGGUAGCCGGCCUGAGAGGGUGACCGGCCAACCUGGGACUGAGACACGGCCCAGACUCCUACGGGAGGCAGCAGUGGGGAAUAUUGCACAAUGGGCGCAAGCCUGAUGCAGCAACGCCGCGUGAGGGAUGACGGCCUUCGGGUUGUAAACCUCUUUUAGUAGGGAAGAAGCGAAAGUGACGGUACCUGCAGAAAAAGCACCGGCUAACUACGUGCCAGCAGCCGCCGUAA